RNAcentral lists this ribosomal RNA (461 nucleotides) under uncultured bacterium. RNAcentral describes it as "partial 16S ribosomal RNA". It matches the Rfam family "Bacterial small subunit ribosomal RNA", at positions 29 to 507 of the family's 1533-position model. The record is from RNAcentral.
ACGAACGCUGGCGGCGUGCUUAACACGUGCAAGUCGAGCGGUAAGGCCUUUCGGGGUACACGAGCGGCGAACGGGUGAGUAACACGUGGGUGAUCUGCCCUGCACUUCGGGAUAAGCCUGGGAAACUGGGUCUAAUACCGGAUAUGACCUCCUAUCGCAUGGUGGGUGGUGGAAAGAUUUAUCGGUGCAGGAUGGGCCCGCGGCCUAUCAGCUUGUUGGUGGGGUAAUGGCCUACCAAGGCGACGACGGGUAGCCGACCUGAGAGGGUGACCGGCCACACUGGGACUGAGACACGGCCCAGACUCCUACGGGAGGCAGCAGUGGGGAAUAUUGCACAAUGGGCGAAAGCCUGAUGCAGCGACGCCGCGUGAGGGAUGACGGCCUUCGGGUUGUAAACCUCUUUCAGCAGGGACGAAGCGCAAGUGACGGUACCUGCAGAAGAAGCACCGGCUAACUACGUG